GACGAACGCUGGCGGCGUGCUUAACACAUGCAAGUCGAGCGGUAAGGCCCUUUCGGGGGUACACGAGCGGCGAACGGGUGAGUAACACGUGGGUGACCUGCCCUCAGCUCUGGGAUAAGCCUGGGAAACCGGGGUCUAAUACCGGAUAUGACUCCACGACGCAUGUUGUGGGGUGGAAAGCCUUGUGCGGCUGAGGAUGGGCCCGCGGCCUAUCAGCUUGUUGGUGGGGUGANGGCCUACCAAGGCGACGACGGGUAGCCGGCCUGAGAGGGCGACCGGCCACACUGGGACUGAGACACGGCCCAGACUCCUACGGGAGGCAGCAGUGGGGAAUCUUGCGCAAUGGGCGAAAGCCUGACGCAGCGACGCCGCGUGAGGGAUGACGGCCU
Molecule: ribosomal RNA, 389 nt
Filed under: uncultured bacterium
Lineage: Bacteria
Description: bacterial SSU rRNA
Rfam family: Bacterial small subunit ribosomal RNA
Source: RNAcentral